ACGGGGUGCAGCAGGCGCGAAAACUUUGCAAUGUGCGAAAGCACGACAAGGUUAAUCCGAGUGAUUUCUGCUAAAGAAAUCUUUUGCUAGUCCUAGAAACACUAGUGAAUAAGGGGUGGGCAAGUUCUGGUGUCAGCCGCCGCGGUAAAACCAGCACCUCAAGUGGUCAGGAUGAUUAUUGGGCCUAAAGCAUCCGUAGCUCGUUUUGUAAGUUUUCGGUUAAAUCCAUACGCUUAACGUAUGGGCUGCCGGGAAUACUGCAUAACUAGGAAGUGGGAGAGGUAGACGGUACUCGGUAGGAAGGGGUAAAAUCCUUUGAUCUAUUGAUGACCACCUGUGGCGAAGGCGGUCUACCAGAACACGUUCGACGGUGAGGGAUGAAAGCUGGGGAGCAAACCGGAUUAGAUACCCGGGUAGUCCCAGCUGUAAACUAUGCAAACUCAGUGAUGCAUUGGCUUGUGGCCAAUGCAGUGCUGCAGGGAAGCCGUUAAGUUUGCCGCCUGGGAAGUACGUACGCAAGUAUGAAACUUAAAGGAAUUGGCGGGGGAGCAC
Molecule: ribosomal RNA, 552 nt
Filed under: uncultured Nitrososphaerota archaeon
Lineage: Archaea; Thermoproteati; Nitrososphaerota
Description: bacterial SSU rRNA
Rfam family: Archaeal small subunit ribosomal RNA
Source: RNAcentral